Molecule: ribosomal RNA, 503 nt
Filed under: uncultured bacterium
Lineage: Bacteria
Description: partial 16S ribosomal RNA
Rfam family: Bacterial small subunit ribosomal RNA
Source: RNAcentral
AUUGAACGCUGGCGGCAGGCUUAACACAUGCAAGUCGAGCGGGGUGAUGGCGCUUGCACUAUCACUUAGCGGCGGACGGGUGAGUAAUGCUUAGGAAUCUGCCUAUUAGUGGGGGACAACAUCUCGAAAGGGAUGCUAAUACCGCAUACGUCCUACUGGAGAAAGCAGGGGAUCACUUGUGACCUUGCGCUAAUAGAUGAGCCUAAGUCGGAUUAGCUAGUUGGUGGGGUAAAGGCCUACCAAGGCGACGAUCUGUAGCGGGUCUGAGAGGAUGAUCCGCCACACUGGGACUGAGACACGGCCCAGACUCCUACGGGAGGCAGCAGUGGGGAAUAUUGGACAAUGGGGGGAACCCUGAUCCAGCCAUGCCGCGUGUGUGAAGAAGGCCUUAUGGUUGUAAAGCACUUUAAGCGAGGAGGAGGCUCUUUUGGUUAAUACCCAGAAUGAGUGGACGUUACUCGCAGAAUAAGCACCGGCUAACUCUGUGCCAGCCGCCGCCGUAA